This 253-nucleotide ribosomal RNA is filed under the name uncultured bacterium. Its description in RNAcentral is "partial 16S ribosomal RNA". It matches the Rfam family "Bacterial small subunit ribosomal RNA", at positions 524 to 776 of the family's 1533-position model. The record is from RNAcentral.
UACAGAGGGUGCAAGCGUUAAUCGGAAUUACUGGGCGUAAAGCGCGCGGAGGUGGUUUGUUAAGUUGGGUGUGAAAGCCCCGGGCUCAACCUGGGAACUGCAUCCAAAACUGGCCAACUAGAGUACAGUAGAGGGUGGUGGAAUUUCCUGUGUAGCGGUGAAAUGCGUAGAUAUAGGAAGGAACACCAGUGGCGAAGGCGACCACCUGGACUGAUACUGACACUGAGGUGCGAAAGUGUGGGGAGCAAACAGG